RNAcentral lists this ribosomal RNA (377 nucleotides) under uncultured bacterium. RNAcentral describes it as "bacterial SSU rRNA". It matches the Rfam family "Bacterial small subunit ribosomal RNA", at positions 28 to 409 of the family's 1533-position model. The record is from RNAcentral.
GACGAACGCUGGCGGCGUGCUUAACACAUGCAAGUCGAGCGGUAAGGCCCUUUCGGGGGUACACGAGCGGCGAACGGGUGAGUAACACGUGGGUGACCUGCCCUCAGCUCUGGGAUAAGCCUGGGAAACUGGGUCUAAUACUGGAUAUGACUCCACGGUGCAUGUCGUGGGGUGAAAGCCUUGUGCGGCUGAGGAUGGGCCCGCGGCCUAUCAGCUUGUUGGUGGGGUGAGGCCUACCAAGGCGACGACGGGUAGCCGGCCUGAGAGGGCGACCGGCACACUGGGACUGAGACACGGCCCAGACUCCUACGGGAGGCAGCAGUGGGGAAUCUUGCGCAAUGGGCGAAAGCCUGACGCAGCGACGCCGCGUGAGGGAU